UACGUAGGGUGCGAGCGUUGUCCGGAAUUACUGGGCGUAAAGAGCUCGUAGGUGGUUUGUCGCGUUGUUCGUGAAAACCUGAGGUUUAACCUUGGGCGUGCGGGCGAUACGGGCAGACUGGAGUACUGCAGGGGAGACUGGAAUUCCUGGUGUAGCGGUGAAAUGCGCAGAUAUCAGGAGGAACACCGGUGGCGAAGGCGGGUCUCUGGGCCGUAACUGACGCUGAGGAGCGAAAGCGUGGGGAGCGAACAGG
This 253-nucleotide ribosomal RNA is filed under the name uncultured bacterium. Its description in RNAcentral is "partial 16S ribosomal RNA". It matches the Rfam family "Bacterial small subunit ribosomal RNA", at positions 524 to 776 of the family's 1533-position model. The record is from RNAcentral.